This 106-nucleotide microRNA precursor is filed under the name Marmota monax (woodchuck). The record is from RNAcentral. Lineage: Eukaryota; Metazoa; Chordata; Mammalia; Rodentia; Sciuridae.
AUAUGAGUAACUUGGGAACCUCAUUAAAAUACAGAUUCUGAUUCAGUAUAUCUGGGGUAGGACCUGAGAUAAUGCGUUUUUUAGUGAGCUCCCAGGCGACGCCAAG